UAUCCAUGGUGUAGGCACUUCUGAAUCAACAUCUUGAAACGCUCACAUGCUUCAUGAAGGCUUUCUCUUUCUAACUACUUGAACAUCAAAAUUUCCCUUCUUAAUUA
This 107-nucleotide small nucleolar RNA is filed under the name Gossypium barbadense (sea-island cotton). RNAcentral's name for it is "Plant small nucleolar RNA R71". It matches the Rfam family "Plant small nucleolar RNA R71". Rfam says of the family: R71 is a member of the C/D box family of snoRNAs containing the C (UGAUGA) and D (CUGA) box motifs. Lineage: Eukaryota; Viridiplantae; Streptophyta; Magnoliopsida; Malvales; Malvaceae. RNAcentral also lists the same sequence under 2 other names. The record is from Rfam by way of RNAcentral.